CUCAGUGCAGUCUCACACCUGAGAAAUUUCGGGUAGCAAAGAGCAAACGUGCGCUUUGCAUGGAAUGAAAACAGGGAGCAGAAAUGGAAAGGAAUGUCGAGGAACCUGUGUGGACACGGGAAGCAUUUUGCCGCUCCUCGGAUCUCCUCUGUGGAGCGGCAAAGCAAAGCGCCUCUAGGAGCCCAUCGGCCCGGCUCGCUCGCAGCCUCCCUUGGUGGGACCGCAGGGGCGUCCCAGGGUGCACGAGGAGGAGGAGGAGGAGGAGGAGGAGGAAGGUGUCUGCGGCAUCGCGCUGAGCAGCCGACAAGUCUGCAGAGGUUCCCACGAAGGGACUCGCCGUGUUUUGCAGUUCGAGCGUUAGCACCUUGUGGCAGUUUUUCUUGGGUGACCGUGUUGGCCGUUUUAUUUACAUUUGCGUUCAGAACGGGGCUCAGCUCUUUAAGCAUAAGGAGAAAUUUAAUCGUUUUGCUCAUCAGGUGGGGGAAUACUGCAGACCGGCUAACCGUCUGAAACCGGCUCCAAAGGCCCGAGACACCCUCCCCCUCUUCUGCAGCCGCAUUUCACUUGUGACCUUACGCAGCCCGUGGUCAGACGCGAUCCUUUGAACACGUCCCCGAGCAGCAGUGAUUAGAAGCGCUUUGAUUGCCCUGCUCAGCUGGUCCUCAGCUCCCGCGCCGCCGCCGCCGCGCUCGCCCACCUCCCCCUCGCACGCGGGCUCGUUCGCUCUCGGCGACGUUUAAGUCAAAGCUUCUUCUGUCCCUCCUCCCCCUCCGGCCCCCUUUCAUUUUCGUAUAGCGUAUUAAACCUCAAGACGUAGUUAACACUAAUCCUGAUGUAUUUAGGAUUUAUCUGCAUUAUUAAUUCCAGUCGUGUUGUGAAAAAGUACUAAGGGUUCCAGCUUGUAUAUAAACUUUGGCUGUUUUGGGGAGAGGUUUAUUUGAAUCUUCUCCUCGAAGUGAUAUUUUAGUCGAAAUCUCACUUUCCCAUUUUUAAAACACUUCAGAUAGGAGCUGGCCAUAAUAAUUUGAUUUAUUGUUAUUUUUUUCAGUAAAUACCCUCUUGGACUAUUUUAUGCAUUAAUCUGGAUUUGAUGUGGAUUUAAACAUUUACAAUGCAAAAUAAUUUGGGUUAAAAAUAAUCCUCCUUGAUAAAGC
This 1154-nucleotide long non-coding RNA is filed under the name Apteryx owenii (little spotted kiwi). Its description in RNAcentral is "lncRNA (ENSAOWG00000000656.1)". The record is from RNAcentral. Lineage: Eukaryota; Metazoa; Chordata; Aves; Apterygiformes; Apterygidae.